UGGGGAAUUUUGGACAAUGGGCGAAAGCCUGAUCCAGCAAUGCCGCGUGUGUGAAGAAGGCCUUCGGGUUGUAAAGCACUUUUGUCCGGAAAGAAAUCCUUGGCUCUAAUACAGUCGGGGGAUGACGGUACCGGAAGAAUAAGCACCGGCUAACUACGUGCCAGCAGCCGCGGUAAUACGUAGGGUGCAAGCGUUAAUCGGAAUUACUGGGCGUAAAGCGUGCGCAGGCGGUUUGCUAAGACCGAUGUGAAAUCCCCGGGCUCAACCUGGGAACUGCAUUGGUGACUGGCAGGCUAGAGUAUGGCAGAGGGGGGUAGAAUUCCACGUGUAGCAGUGAAAUGCGUAGAGAUGUGGAGGAAUACCGAUGGCGAAGGCAGCCCCCUGGGCCAAUACUGACGCUCAUGCACGAAAGCGUGGGGAGCAAACAGGAUUAGAUACCCUGGUAGUCCACGCCCUAAACGAUGUCAACUAGUUGUUGGGGAUUCAUUUCCUUAGUAACGUAGCUAACGCGUGAAGUUGACCGCCUGGGGAGUACGGUCGCAAGAUUAAAACUUAAUGAAUUGAC
RNAcentral lists this ribosomal RNA (565 nucleotides) under uncultured bacterium. RNAcentral describes it as "partial 16S ribosomal RNA". It matches the Rfam family "Bacterial small subunit ribosomal RNA", at positions 355 to 914 of the family's 1533-position model. The record is from RNAcentral.